RNAcentral lists this ribosomal RNA (1197 nucleotides) under Triticum aestivum (bread wheat). RNAcentral's name for it is "partial small subunit ribosomal RNA". Lineage: Eukaryota; Viridiplantae; Streptophyta; Magnoliopsida; Poales; Poaceae. The record is from RNAcentral.
AUGGCGUCCUUGGUCCAGCACGUCGCGGGGCUCGCGUGCCCACCGCUCUCCGGCGCGUCGCGGCGCCCCGGGGCGCCUAUGCGGCCGUCCGCGCUGGUCUGCGGGACGUACGUGCUGAGCAAGGACGAGAAGGAGCGGGAGCGGAUGCGCACGCUGUUCGACGAGGCCUCCGAGCGCUGCCGCACUGCGCCCAUGGAGGGCAUCACCUUCUCCCCCGAGGACCUCGAAUCCGCCGUCGAGACCACCGACAUCGACACUGACAUUGGCUCACUCAUUAAAGGGACAGUAUUCAUGACCACUUCAAAUGGUGCAUUUAUUGACAUCCAAUCAAAGGCUACUGCUUUCUUGCCUAUAGAUGAGGCAUGCCUUCUCGAUAUUGACAAUAUAGAGGAGGCAGGCAUCCGGCCGGGUUUAGUGGAGCAGUUCAUGAUAAUUGAUGAGAACCCAAAUGAUGAAACUUUGAUUCUGAGCUUACAAUCAAUUCAGCAAGACCUUGCUUGGGAAAGAUGCAGGCAGCUUCAGGCAGAGGAUGUUGUUAUCACGGGUAAAGUAAUUGGUGGUAACAAAGGAGGUGUGGUGGCUCUUGUGGAGGGCCUUAAGGCAUUUGUUCCAUUUUCACAAGUGUCAUCGAAAACAACUGCUGAAGAGCUGCUUGACAAAGAACUACCUCUGAAGUUUGUGGAGGUCGAUGAGGAACAAGGCAGGCUUGUCCUCAGUAAUCGCAAGGCAAUGGCCGACAGCCAAGCCCAGCUUGGUAUUGGCUCAGUUGUUUUGGGAACUGUUGAAAGCCUAAAACCUUAUGGUGCCUUUAUCGAUAUCGGUGGAAUCAAUGGACUUCUGCAUGUCAGCCAAAUUAGUCAUGACCGUGUCGCAGAUAUCUCGACAGUUCUUCAACCAGGAGAUACCCUCAAGGUUAUGAUACUAAGCCAUGACCGUGAAAGGGGCCGGGUUAGCCUUUCUACCAAGAAGCUUGAGCCAACGCCUGGUGACAUGAUUCGUAACCCGAAGCUGGUUUUCGAAAAGGCUGAUGAAAUGGCGCAGAUAUUCAGGCAGAGAAUAGCUCAAGCAGAGGCAAUGGCUCGUGCCGACAUGUUAAGAUUCCAGCCAGAGAGUGGACUGUCUCUCAGUUCAGAGGGUAUCUUAGGUCCAUUGUCAUCAGACACAGCACAGGAGGAAGGCCUACCUACGGACGAAUAG